This 465-nucleotide ribosomal RNA is filed under the name Vreelandella stevensii. RNAcentral describes it as "partial 16S ribosomal RNA". It matches the Rfam family "Bacterial small subunit ribosomal RNA", at positions 338 to 795 of the family's 1533-position model. Lineage: Bacteria; Pseudomonadati; Pseudomonadota; Gammaproteobacteria; Oceanospirillales; Halomonadaceae. The record is from RNAcentral.
CCUACGGGAGGCAGCAGUGGGGAAUAUUGGACAAUGGGGGGAACCCUGAUCCAGCCAUGCCGCGUGUGUGAAGAAGGCCCUCGGGUUGUAAAGCACUUUCAGUGAGGAAGAACGCCUGGUGGUUAAUACCCAUCAGGAAAGACAUCACUCACAGAAGAAGCACCGGCUAACUCCGUGCCAGCAGCCGCGGUAAUACGGAGGGUGGGAGCGUUAAUCGGAAUUACUGGGCGUAAAGCGCGCGUAGGUGGCUUGAUAAGCCGGUUGUGAAAGCCCCGGGCUCAACCUGGGAACGGCAUCCGGAACUGUCAAGCUAGAGUGCAGGAGAGGAAGGUAGAAUUCCCGGUGUAGCGGUGAAAUGCGUAGAGAUCGGGAGGAAUACCAGUGGCGAAGGCGGCCUUCUGGACUGACACUGACACUGAGGUGCGAAAGCGUGGGUAGCAAACAGGAUUAGAUACCCCAGUAGUC